UAUUACUAAGGCUUUUAUAUUGGAUAAUUAUGGCCUAUCACUAAGGAAUGAGCAACUUAGCCAACAGAAUAUACACUAUUUGACAUAAGUAUAAUAACCAAUAAGGAGAGAUUGAAAACUUCUGUUUAUAGAAAACCCUCGUAUGAUCCAAUCCUUAUUCCUAAUUGAUCACGAGACCCGAUAACAUAUAAGAAAGCUGUACUUAGAUAUUUUUUCAAGAGAGCCAUAUUGUAAAGUUCUGAAUCCACAGAUUUGAAAUAUAAAAUAGAGUACAUCAUAGAAGUAGAGGAACAGCAUGAAUACGGAAGAUCAUUUAUAGAAAGCAUAAGAAGGAAUAUACAAAAAAGCUUCAGCAGUACAGUCAAUAGCUGGGUGCAGAUAGCAAGUCAAGUAAAACAAUAAGAAAGUUAUAUGAUAGUGCCAUAUAACCUCAAAACAUUUAACUUUGUGGAUAAAGUCACUAAAAAGACAAACAAAAAAUUAGCAGUACAAAGGGGACCGACAAUCUUUAGUUUAUUCAGAAACAAAAAAAGACCCCCUAAAAGACUUAGAAAAGCAAGGAGUGUAUAAAAUUUGUAACAAAUUUUUGCUUCUGCUGUGGUUAGCUAGUUUUUCUCUUACAUAUGCCCAUCUAAAUUUAUAUUUUUCAUUUUCUUAAUUUCCUAGGAUGUCUAAGAUGCUCUCUAUGAGCAGGAUUUCGUCUAAUGGAACCAGGUGUAAGUAGCACAUGCCAGGCCUUUUUGGAUUAGCUCUUGUGCAAAUGUUAGGAGGUUUAUGUUGCCUAUUACCAUUAUGGCUUUUUCUAUGUCUAUUUUGGUCUUCUUUGUGUAGAUGCAUUGGGUUUUGAAUAUCCAUUUUAGCUUUUUUAUGUUUUUCAUCCUUAAUCUAUCUUGUAGGACUUUUGUUUGUCAUGUUAUUGUGGCUAGGAAUUCAUUUACAUCUUCAUGGUGGAUCAAUUCCUCUUUGCAUUUUGCUUCUUGGUUGAGCGCUUGGAAAUAUAUUUGUUUUGCAUCUGAAAUCACUACCUUUAGGCAAAUUCUUUUGGUCUUGGAUGGACUUUUUUGGACUUGAUUGGUAGCUUGAUGCAGCAAUCUAUAGGAUCAAGCCUGGAUCCACCAGAAUACAAAAAAGCAGCAGUUAGAUCCUUAUUCAGAAGAGUAUUUCUGCUGUACUCCACUGACCAACAAGACCCAGAAAGUGAAAUAAAAUAUAUUUACGAAGUCAGCC
RNAcentral lists this long non-coding RNA (1227 nucleotides) under Androctonus crassicauda. The record is from RNAcentral. Lineage: Eukaryota; Metazoa; Arthropoda; Arachnida; Scorpiones; Buthidae.